ACUUACUGCUCAACCUCUCCAGUUUCCUGUCAGAUAAGGCAAUAGAGCAUGAUGGUCCUCUACCAAGGUCCUAUGUAACUACGCUACAAUGAGUGACAGGGCAGGGAGGGGGUGUUUACGCUCCCCCAGCUAGUAUCCUCCCGUCUACUGAACGCAGAUCACCCAUCAAUUUACCUUAAACUGUGCUCAAAGGGGCAGUCUGAGCAGUUUAUUGCAGUGGUUAUUGUGCAAUCAGUAUAAAGGUUCAGUCCCCCCAGCUUUUCUCAAACUGUCUUCAAAAGGCCUCUACUUCUGUUGCCAAUGACAUCACUCUGAAUGUUCAGAUUCCAUUAGUCAUAUGCUUAGCCUCACAGGCUAUCAGUGCUGUUCAAAUAAGGGAUAGCCCAGGUGCUUGUUAAAAAGCUCUAAAAGAAUUUGAUAAAAACUAAUAGGACUACACCUAUAGACUUACAUAGUUAUGUAGGAUGAAAUAAAAAGCAUUGAGUCCAUCACGUUCAGCAUUUCUGUUGAUCAAAAAAAAAGGAAGUCUGAACUGCUUAUUUUGAAAUAAACAGGGGGGAAAAGUUAUACCUUUUUGACUACAGAAUGGCAGUUAGAUCUAUCCUUGUAUCCAAAAGCUGAUAGCCCACGUAUUAAAAAUGAUAUUAUGUUUUUGCAAUAAUUCACCCAGUGGCUGUUUAAGCAUCUGUACAGACAAAGAUAAAAAUACCUCUUUAGGAAGAGAAUUCCACAUCCUUAUUGUUCUUACUGUAAGGAAGCUUUUACUUUGCCUUAGACUGAAUCCUAUUUCUUCACCUCAAUGGAUGACCUUGUGUCCUAUGUAUAGUCCUAUUCAUGAAUACAU
This is a non-coding RNA of Pelobates cultripes (western spadefoot toad), 844 nucleotides long. Lineage: Eukaryota; Metazoa; Chordata; Amphibia; Anura; Pelobatidae. The record is from the annotation of a GenBank genome assembly.